CCAAAAAUAUUCUCGCUGUUCUGAUUUUGUCAUAAUCAGGAUAGGCUAAACAUUUGCUAUAUUAAGACCAACCAUGUGUCCCCAGGCCUAGUUCUUUACCCACCUAAGUAUGGUCUUAGAAAUGCUGGUGAUAAAU
Small nucleolar RNA from Suncus etruscus (white-toothed pygmy shrew), 136 nucleotides. RefSeq annotates it as small nucleolar RNA SNORA72. The transcript has a single exon. The record is from RefSeq and is a predicted model, not a curated record. Lineage: Eukaryota; Metazoa; Chordata; Mammalia; Eulipotyphla; Soricidae.